ACACACACACAUACACACAUACACACAUACACACACAUAUAUAUAUAUAUAUAUGUGUGUGUGUGUGUGUGUGUGUGUGUGUGUGUGUGU
This 90-nucleotide microRNA precursor is filed under the name Paramuricea clavata. The record is from RNAcentral. Lineage: Eukaryota; Metazoa; Cnidaria; Anthozoa; Malacalcyonacea; Plexauridae.